ACGGAAGGCAGCAGUGGGGAAUAUUGGACAAUGGGGGAAACCCUGAUCCAGCGACGCCGCGUGAGUGAAGAAGUAUUUCGGUAUGUAAAGCUCUAUCAGCAAGGAAGAAAAUGACGGUACUUGACUAAGAAGCUCCGGCUAAAUACGUGCCAGCAGCCGCGGUAAUACAUAUGGAGCAAGCGUUAUCCGGAUUUACUGGGUGUAAAGGGAGCGUAGACGGCAAAGCAAGUCUGAAGUGAAAUCCCGGGGCUCAACCCCGGAACUGCUUUGGAAACUGUUUAGCUAGAGUGCAGGAGAGGUAAGCGGAAUUCCUAGUGUAGCGGUGAAAUGCGUAGAUAUUAGGAGGAACACCAGUGGCGAAGGCGGCUUACUGGACUGUAACUGACGUUGAGGCUCGAAAGCGUGGGGAGCAAACAGGAUUAGAUACCCUGGUA
This 434-nucleotide ribosomal RNA is filed under the name uncultured Clostridium sp. Its description in RNAcentral is "partial 16S ribosomal RNA". It matches the Rfam family "Bacterial small subunit ribosomal RNA", at positions 341 to 792 of the family's 1533-position model. RNAcentral also lists the same sequence under 1 other name. The record is from RNAcentral. Lineage: Bacteria; Bacillati; Bacillota; Clostridia; Eubacteriales; Clostridiaceae.